Calliphora vicina (urban bluebottle blowfly) is the source of this 3266-nucleotide long non-coding RNA. RefSeq lists it as uncharacterized. The transcript is spliced from 2 exons. The record is from RefSeq and is a predicted model, not a curated record. Lineage: Eukaryota; Metazoa; Arthropoda; Insecta; Diptera; Calliphoridae.
UAUUGCCCUUUUACAAGAAUGUCACCUACAUAAGAAUAAGAAAAUUACUAUUCCUGGCUAUAACGUUAUAUAUGACUACUCACCUAUAGGAGUGGCUAUAGUACUAAAAAAAUCAAUUAAAAACAACAGAAUUAAUAUUGCUGGAACAUCGCUCAGUAAUGUUUUUAUUCAAAUAGAACUCAUUGUUAAUAAUUACACCAAAAAGUUUUUAGUUGGUUCAGUAUACGUACCUUGCAUUCAUGCGGCUCAAGAGCUACACAACGACCUAAACAAGAUUCUUGAUGUGUCCAGAAAUUUUGAUGGGUUUGUAAUUGGCGGCGAUCUAAACGCUAAAAGCACUACUUGGGGAGACAGUUCAGAUAACGGUAAUGGGAGAACAAUCCGUAACUGGUUACAAGUCUUCCAACUUUUUCAGAUCAUUUUCCACUGAAUUUAAAACUGGAAUUCGGAUCAGGAAAUCUACAUCUUAGAAAUCCGUCAGUAAUAACAUCUUACAAAAACACCAAUUGGGACUUAUUUCGUAGAGACCUUGAAGCUGCAUCCUGUGAUAUUCUUCCACCUACCAUCUGUAAUUUAAAUAAUGAAAAUUUGGACUCAUUAAUUAAUGCAUUCAACUCAACAGUUGCUACAGUACAUAAUACUCAUUCGGAAAAAAUGGAAAUCACUGAUCGCAAGAGACCUUAUCCAGAAAACAUUAAAAAAUUGUUUAAAAUAAAGUACACAUGGCAGAAGGAGUUGAAAAAAAUCUUCCAUCGGAAUGGCAACAAACUUAAUCGUGAGUAUAGAAUAUUGUCAAAUCAAAUACAGCUGCUCAAAACAAUUAUUAAUGAACUGGUUAAUAUGGAAGAGACAAAACGAUUUAGCAAUAGGUUAUCAAAAAUCCAACCUGGUCCAACAGCAUUUAAAGAUAUAUAUCAAAUUACUGGAAAGUCUAAAUCGCCUUUUUGCCAUCAAAUUAUUAAUAAUAAUGGUAUAACAACAAAUCAUUCAGAAAUUGCUGUUAUUUUUAAAAACCACUUCUCUAAUGUCUUUAGUGUGGUAAAUCCUGUAAGGUCUGCCUCUAACGUUGAAAAUCAAAUUGCAAUAUCCAUCAAUGAUCUUCCUAGUAAUAUUUAUUCCUUUGACACAAAUUUUAAAGCAGACGAAAAUUCUGAUACUCUUCAUUUUAUAAAUAUUGAUACCAUAAGAUCCCAUAUUAAUAAUAUUAAUUGCAAGAAAUCAUAUGGGCUUGACAAUAUCUCAAAUUUCCUAAUUAAAAAAUUCCCUGACACAACGCUAAAACUACUCACGAUAAUCUUUAAUAAUUGCAUUAACAAUGGAUAUUUUCCAAAUGCCUGGAAAACCGCCAAAAUCCUGCCUAUCAAAAAGAAAAGAGACAGUAAGAAGCCAGAGGAAUUUCGACCGAUAUCCCUAUUGUCUAAUAUUGGCAAAUUAUUCGAGCGUAUACUGAAGGAAAAACUGGAAAAGGAAUUCAUCAUUGAACCUAUUCCAGAUUUCCAAUUUGGGUUCAGAAGACAUCAUUCAACUCAACAUGCUUUGCUAAAGUUUCAUAAUGACGUGGUCCACAAUCUAAGGGAGAAAAAAUGUUCUCUAGCUAUCUCAUUGGAUAUCGAAAAGGCUUUUGACUCCGUCUGUCAUAAAAGUCUAAUAUACAAACUUAUAAAUCUUAGCAUCGAUCCUUAUCUUCUGAAAAUAUUGAAUAGUUUUUUCACUAAAAGAGAAUUCUGCGUUCAAAUCAACAACACCACGUCAGAUACCAGCUUCGUCAACAUCGGAGUUCCUCAGGGCAGCAUAUUAGCGCCACUUCUUUUUAAUAUAUUCCUCCAUGAUUUCCCACAUCAGUACAACAACUCUAAGGCUAUUCUCUAUGCCGAUGAUUGCCUCAUUUAUGCUCAUGACAUCUCACCAUCAGAAGCUUUGAACAGGGCAGCUAUUCAUCUUGGCAUAAUAAACAAUUUUUAUAAUGAAUGGGGAAUAAGAAUUAAUGCUGCGAAGUCGGAAGCCAUUUGUAUCAGAAAUGCAUCCGGCAAAUGUGCAAAGUUUGUGGUCCCAGAGAGCAAAUCACUACAACUUUCUCUAAACGGUGUGGAAAUUCCUCUUAAAAACACUAUAAAGUACCUGGGAAUAAAAUUUGACAAACUGUUAAAAUUCAAUGGUAAUGCGAGAAAUCGUCUGGAAAAGGCAAGGAAAAUAUCAGGAAUGUUUUCAAGCCUUUUGUACAACAAAUACUUACCAAUAAGGACAAAACUUCUAAUUUAUAAAGUUGCAAUCAGAUCGGUCCUCAUCUACGGGUUUCCCAUUUGGUUCACUAUGUCGCCAACGGUGGCCAAGGAGAUUGAAAUCUUUGAACGUGUAAUACUGAGGAAGUGUAUUGGGAAAAAUUACCAGAAUGAGACAAAACGAUUCUCAAACAAUUACAUAUAUAAGAAUGCAGAUAUACUACCUUUUUGCCGAUAUGCCAUGGUACAACAAAAAAGUUUUGUUGAAAAGCUUUCAACACAUGACAACAUUCUUAUUGAACAAAUCUUUCAACAAGAGAAUCUGACAACUUGGACUUCCUUUCCGUACCUCUCUCCGAUAGGAAUUCUCCACGAGAACAUCAAUAAUGAUCCGGAUCCUUAUGCUUUGCCAUCAUUCUAUUUGAAAUCAGCACCUGGUGUACACAGAGGCUGAAAAUAUUAUUAUAAGAUUUUAUUAUUUGUAACUGUUACUAUUAUUAUUGUUGUAUAUAUAUUAUUAUUUUUUUUAAUUAAUCUGUGAUAUUUAUAAUAUUUACCUUUUAUUUUGACUAUAUGUUCCGUUCUCAUUGGAAAUUAUUGCAUUUAUAUGCUUUCGUAUUUUUAACUUACACACUUAGCUACAUAGUAUAUGUCUACAUUUAUGUUUUGUUUUGAUACACAAAUUCUGCAUUUAUAUGCUGUCGUCUACAAUAUAUUAUUUACAUUCUGUUUGUCAAUGUUAUUAACAGAAUAUUUGUUAUUUAUGUUUUUAAGUGUUAUUUAGUCUUAAGUUUGUUAUUUACAGACAUUCGCUCUGUUAGCCAAAGUAAAGACCGAAAGCAAGUCUUGUUUGUUUUCAUAUUCAUUUUGUAGAAAAUACAUAUCCUAUUUCAUUUAUCUACAUUGUUGUGUAAUAUCCUAUUUUUGUUAUUAGAGUAAGACAAAUAUAGCUCUAAGAAUUAUAUUGUUCUCAUUGUAUGUAAGACACGAAAAAUGUUAUCGAAAAGAAAAAAGACUUAAUAAAAAUUUACUUACUUACUUACUUAC